UCUCCGUUGGUGAACCAGCGGAGGGAUCAUUACUGGAAUCGCAAGAUCCCACAACCCUGUGAACCUACCGAAACGUGGCCUCGGCGGGUGCCCGGCCUCCGCGCCGGGCGCCGCGCCCGCCGGCGGCCCCCUACUCUGUCUCUGCAGCGUGGCAUCUCAGAGUCCCCGAAAACAAGUCAAAACUUUCAACAACGGAUCUCUUGGCUCUA
RNAcentral lists this unclassified non-coding RNA (209 nucleotides) under plant metagenome. RNAcentral's name for it is "partial contains small subunit ribosomal RNA, internal transcribed spacer 1, and 5.8S ribosomal RNA". The record is from RNAcentral.